This 253-nucleotide ribosomal RNA is filed under the name uncultured bacterium. Its description in RNAcentral is "partial 16S ribosomal RNA". It matches the Rfam family "Bacterial small subunit ribosomal RNA", at positions 524 to 776 of the family's 1533-position model. The record is from RNAcentral.
UACGUAGGGGGCUAGCGUUGUCCGGAAUCAUUGGGCGUAAAGAGCGUGUAGGCGGUCCGGUAAGUCCGCUGUGAAAGCCCGGGGCUCAACCCCGGGAGGCGGGUGGAUACUGUCAAGCUCGAGUCCGGAAGAGGAGUGUGGAAUUCCUGGUGUAGCGGUGAAAUGCGCAGAUAUCAGGAGGAACACCAAUGGCGAAGGCAGCACUCUGGGACGUGACUGACGCUGAGACGCGAAAGCGUGGGGAGCAAACAGG